GGAGCGCAACUGACGCUCAUGCUCGAAAGUGCGGGUAUCGAACAGGAUUAGAUACCCUGGUAGUCCGCACGGUAAACGAUGGAUGCCCGCUAUUUGUCCAUUAGGAUAAGUGGCCAAGUGAAAACGUUAAGCAUCCCACCUGGGGAGUACGCCGGCAACGGUGAAACUCAAAGGAAUUGACGGGGGCCCGCACAAGCGGAGGAACAUGUGGUUUAAUUCGAUGAUACGCGAGGAACCUUACCCGGGCUUGAAUUGCUGAGGAAAGAUCCAGAGAUGGUGAUGCCCUUCGGGGCCUCAGUGAAGGUGCUGCAUGGUUGUCGUCAGCUCGUGCCGUGAGGUGUCGGCUUAAGUGCCAUAACGAGCGCAACCCCUCUCUUCAGUUGCCAUCAGGUUAAGCUGGGCACUCUGGAGACACUGCCACCGUAAGGUGUGAGGAAGGUGGGGAUGACGUCAAAUCAGCACGGCCCUUACGUCCGGGGCUACACACGUGUUACAAUGGGUGGUACAGAGAGUUGGGUGCCCGCAAGGUCACUCUAAUCAAUAAAUCCAUCCUCAGUUCGGACUGGGGUCUGCAACCCGACCCCACGAAGCUGGAUUCGCU
RNAcentral lists this ribosomal RNA (601 nucleotides) under uncultured bacterium. RNAcentral's name for it is "bacterial SSU rRNA". It matches the Rfam family "Bacterial small subunit ribosomal RNA", at positions 731 to 1336 of the family's 1533-position model. The record is from RNAcentral.